GAAGAUAUGGAUGUUGAGAGUAGCUUUGAAUAUGAAGAAAAUAGAGCUAUGGACAAUUCUACAAAUGGUUUGUCUAACAGGGAAGAUGAGUUUGUGAAAGAAGUUGAACAGCUUUUGAGUCCAGAGGAAAGGGAAAUUUUGUAUCACAAUCAAACUCCAGAGCUGGAUAAGAUAUCAACUGAAAAAUGGAACCCUCUUCACACUUUUGCACUAGCAGGGCAGAUACGAUUUAUGGAUAGACUUCUAGAGGAGGGUCUUGAUAUUGAUGUCGUUGACAAGGAAGGGCAAACAGCUCUUCACCAUGCCGUUUUUGGUAAAAAAGAGGCUGUGAUCAGUCAUCUUCUAAGAAAAGGUGCAAACCCUCAAGUCAGGGAUACGGAUGGUGUCACCCCUCUACAUUAUGCAGUUCAAGUAGGAGCCUUGCAAACGGUUAAAAUGUUAAUCAAAUACAAGGUUGAUGUGAAUGCUGCUGAUAAUGUUGGUUGGACGCCACUGCACGUGGCCAUGCAAAGCAGAAACAGAGACAUAGCAAAAGUUCUUCUUGUCAAUGGAGCAGAUAAGUACAGAAAGAAUAAGGAUGGUAAAACACCCCUUGAUAUUAGCCUUUGUUAUGGCAAAGAUUUCAAGUCUUAUGAUCUGGCUAAGUUACUGAAGCUUGUAAAUGCUAAUAGAGAGCUGUGAUUUGCAUUUUUACUCCCAUCAAAGAUGAAGACAAUCAAUCAUAGUCAAAGAGGAAGUUCUUCAACGCGUUGAGACGGAUACAUAGAAACACAAUUCAGAGCAACUUUUGGACAUGGAAUCACUAGAAUUUUAGAAUAUUUGGGCAGUUGUGUAGUCAGUCUUGCAACAGAUUUGUAAAAAUAAAACAGAACUUGUUUUCUUAUGAUAUGUAUGUGCUUGUGUAGAUUUUAGCACAUUAUAUUGUGCUUGCAUCAGGUGAAUAGGCAAGUCAUGUAUUUACGUGGACUUUACCCCUACCUCACGGUAAUGAAGAAAAAA
RNAcentral lists this unclassified non-coding RNA (999 nucleotides) under Hevea brasiliensis (rubber tree). Lineage: Eukaryota; Viridiplantae; Streptophyta; Magnoliopsida; Malpighiales; Euphorbiaceae. The record is from RNAcentral.